ACUUAAUGUUUGUAUAACUAAAACUUAAUUAAACUAAUUAAACUAGCAAAUAACACCUCUAAAAGGAAAUUUAAUGAAUAUUACCUAGUUAAAACAUUACCUAGUGGCUCACAACUCGUGUGGUUUUGAGACUUUUUAAGGAAAUAAAUGUCCUUAUAUCAGACCUCCUCCUGCUACUGCUUCUCCCUUCUGGCUCCUCCAUGGUUAUCAACCUGCCUGCGUGUGCAGAGCGCCACAGGAGAGGAGGAGACACUGUGCAGCUGCUGACGGAGAUCACAACACUGUGUGUGUGUGUGUGUGUGUGUGUGUGUGUGUGUGUGUGUGUGUGUGUGUGUGUGUGUGUGUGUAUGAUGUGGAUAAUUAUGUUCGCCACAAAAGAUUUGGUGAUUGUCUGAGCUCUUAAUUCAUAUUCAUAUUUUGGGAGUACAAAAAGACCCAGUGCUGAGGAAAAAGGACCAAACCCUGUUGGAGGCAUUGUUGCAUUUACCCAGGAGGAAGCUGCAGAGAACGGUUUCGCUCACAGCCGAGUCAGCUGAAUCCACAUUAAGUCUGUUCAUGCAAAUGGUCGAGUCGGUGGAGCAACACUAUGAGAACAUUUGGCAAAUCCAUCUGCUGCGCACAGUCUUUGCUGGUGGCAGUUGACAAAAUGAAGGUCAACCACAUACGGUCUCAUCCUGCGUAGGAUCAGGAGCUCCACUGGGCGCCGGAGAGACCGA
Molecule: long non-coding RNA, 716 nt
Organism: Seriola dumerili (greater amberjack)
Lineage: Eukaryota; Metazoa; Chordata; Actinopteri; Carangiformes; Carangidae
Exons: 3
Source: RefSeq, a predicted model, not a curated record